RNAcentral lists this ribosomal RNA (214 nucleotides) under uncultured bacterium. RNAcentral's name for it is "partial 16S ribosomal RNA". It matches the Rfam family "Bacterial small subunit ribosomal RNA", at positions 1287 to 1500 of the family's 1533-position model. The record is from RNAcentral.
CCCAGUUCGGAUUGUAGUCUGNAACCCGACUACAUGAAGCUGGAAUCGCUAGUAAUCGCGGAUCAGAAUGCCGCGGUGAAUACGUUCCCGGGUCUUGUACACACCGCCCGUCACACCAUGGGAGUCGGAAAUGCCCGAAGUCGGUGACCGAACCGAAAGGAAGGAGCCGCCGAAGGCAGGUCUGGUGACUGGGGUGAAGUCGUAACAAGGUAUC